RNAcentral lists this ribosomal RNA (898 nucleotides) under Vibrio sp. RNAcentral's name for it is "bacterial SSU rRNA". It matches the Rfam family "Bacterial small subunit ribosomal RNA", at positions 87 to 982 of the family's 1533-position model. Lineage: Bacteria; Pseudomonadati; Pseudomonadota; Gammaproteobacteria; Vibrionales; Vibrionaceae. The record is from RNAcentral.
GGCGUCGAGCGGCGGACGGGUGAGUAAUGCAUAGGAAGUUGCCCAGUAGAGGGGGAUACCAGUUGGAAACGACUGUUAAUACCGCAUAAUCUCUUUGGAGCAAAGCGGGGGACCUUCGGGCCUCGCGCUACUGGAUACGCCUAUGUGGGAUUAGCUAGUUGGUGAGGUAAUGGCUCACCAAGGCGACGAUCCCUAGCUGGUCUGAGAGGAUGAUCAGCCACACUGGGACUGAGACACGGCCCAGACUCCUACGGGAGGCAGCAGUGGGGAAUAUUGCACAAUGGGCGAAAGCCUGAUGCAGCCAUGCCGCGUGUAUGAAGAAGGCCUUCGGGUUGUAAAGUACUUUCAGUUGUGAGGAAGGGUGUGUAGUUAAUAACUGCAUAUUUUGACGUUAGCAACAGAAGAAGCACCGGCUAACUCCGUGCCAGCAGCCGCGGUAAUACGGAGGGUGCGAGCGUUAAUCGGAAUUACUGGGCGUAAAGCGCAUGCAGGUGGUUUGUUAAGUCAGAUGUGAAAGCCCGGGGCUCAACCUCGGAAGGUCAUUUGAAACUGGCAAACUAGAGUACUGUAGAGGGGGGUAGAAUUUCAGGUGUAGCGGUGAAAUGCGUAGAGAUCUGAAGGAAUACCAGUGGCGAAGGCGGCCCCCUGGACAGAUACUGACACUCAGAUGCGAAAGCGUGGGGAGCAAACAGGAUUAGAUACCCUGGUAGUCCACGCCGUAAACGAUGUCUACUUGGAGGUUGUGGCCUUGAGCCGUGGCUUUCGGAGCUAACGCGUUAAGUAGACCGCCUGGGGAGUACGGUCGCAAGAUUAAAACUCAAAUGAAUUGACGGGGGCCCGCACAAGCGGUGGAGCAUGUGGUUAAUUCGAUGCAACGCGAAGAACCUUACCUACUCUU